RNAcentral lists this ribosomal RNA (433 nucleotides) under uncultured bacterium. Its description in RNAcentral is "partial 16S ribosomal RNA". It matches the Rfam family "Bacterial small subunit ribosomal RNA", at positions 29 to 507 of the family's 1533-position model. The record is from RNAcentral.
AACGAACGCUGGCGGCAUGCCUAACACAUGCAAGUCGAACGAGACCUUCGGGUCUAGUGGCGCACGGGUGCGUAACGCGUGGGAACCUGCCCUUAGGUUCGGAAUAACUCCCCGAAAGGGGUGCUAAUACCGGAUAAUGUCUUCGGGCCAAAGAUUUAUCGCCUUUGGAUGGGCCCGCGUUGGAUUAGCUAGUUGGUAGGGUAAAAGCCUACCAAGGCGACGAUCCAUAGCUGGUCUGAGAGGAUGAUCAGCCACACUGGGACUGAGACACGGCCCAGAAUCCUACGGGAGGCAGCAGUGGGGAAUAUUGGACAAUGGGCGAAAGCCUGAUCCAGCAAUGCCGCGUGAGUGAUGAAGGCCUUAGGGUUGUAAAGCUCUUUUACCCGGGAUGAUAAUGACAGUACCGGGAGAAUAAGCUCCGGCUAACUCCGUG